This 419-nucleotide ribosomal RNA is filed under the name uncultured bacterium. Its description in RNAcentral is "bacterial SSU rRNA". It matches the Rfam family "Bacterial small subunit ribosomal RNA", at positions 358 to 774 of the family's 1533-position model. The record is from RNAcentral.
GGAAUAUUGGACAAUGGCCGGAAGGCUGAUCCAGCCAUGCCGCGUGAAGGAAUAAGGUCCUAUGGAUUGUAAACUUCUUUUGUACGAGAGCAAUAAGUGUCACGAGUGACACGAUGAGAGUAUCGUACGAAUAAGCAUCUGCUAACUCCGUGCCAGCAGCCGCGGUAAUACGGAGGAUGCGAGCGUUAUCCGGAUUUAUUGGGUUUAAAGGGUGCGUAGGCUGUUCGUCAAGUCAUAGGUGAAAUACCUGAGCCUAACUCAGGAACUGCCUUUGAUACUGGCGAGCUGGAAUACGGAUGCCGUGGGAGGAAUGAGUAGUGUAGCGGUGAAAUGCAUAGAUAUUACUCAGAACACCGAUUGCGAAGGCAUCUCACGAAUCCGUCAUUGACGCUGAGGCACGAAAGCGUGGGGAUCAAACA